This 471-nucleotide ribosomal RNA is filed under the name uncultured organism. RNAcentral's name for it is "partial 16S ribosomal RNA". It matches the Rfam family "Bacterial small subunit ribosomal RNA", at positions 335 to 797 of the family's 1533-position model. The record is from RNAcentral.
ACUCCUACGGGAGGCAGCAGUGGGGAAUUUUGGACAAUGGGCGAAAGCCUGAUCCAGCAAUGCCGCGUGUGUGAAGAAGGCCUUCGGGUUGUAAAGCACUUUUGUCCGGAAAGAAAUCCUUGGCUCUAAUACAGUCGGGGGAUGACGGUACCGGAAGAAUAAGCACCGGCUAACUACGUGCCAGCAGCCGCGGUAAUACGUAGGGUGCGAGCGUUAAUCGGAAUUACUGGGCGUAAAGCGUGCGCAGGCGGUUUGCUAAGACCGAUGUGAAAUCCCCGGGCUCAACCUGGGAACUGCAUUGGUGACUGGCAGGCUAGAGUAUGGCAGAGGGGGGUAGAAUUCCACGUGUAGCAGUGAAAUGCGUAGAGAUGUGGAGGAAUACCGAUGGCGAAGGCAGCCCCCUGGGCCAAUACUGACGCUCAUGCACGAAAGCGUGGGGAGCAAACAGGAUUAGAUACCCCAGUAGUCCCA